UCAAGCUACAAAGAGCACAAGGGGAAUGCCUUGGCACCGAGAGCCGAAGAAGGACGUGACUAACUGCGAUAAGCUGCGGGGAGCCGUAAGUGGGCUUUGAUCCGCAGAUUUCCGAAUGGAGCAAUCCGGCAAGAGGAAAGUCUUGUCAUCAUAUACUGAAUACAUAGGUAUAUGAGGGGAACCGCCUGAACUGAAACAUCUAAGUAGGGCGAGGAAGAGAAAUCAACUGAGAUUCCGUAAGUAGUGGCGAGCGAACGCGGAAGAGGCCAAACCGAGAGUAGUAAUACUUUCGGGGUUCGGACAGAAAACGGUAUUGUAAAGGUUUAGUGGAAUGGAAUGGGAAGUCCAACCGAAGAAGGUGAGAGUCCUGUACACGAAAAGCCUGAACAGCCAUCUGUAUCCAGAGUACCGCCGGACACGUGAAACCCGGUGGGAAUACGGGGGGACCAUCCUCCAAGCCUAAAUACUACUCGGUGACCGAUAGUGAAGAAGUACUGUGAAGGAAAGGUGAAAAGUACCCCUGACGGGGAGUGAAAAAGAACCUGAAACCUUGUGUUUACAAGCACCGAAAGCUCAUCAAAGAGCGAUCGGGUACCUUUUGUAGAAUGGUCCGGCGAGUGAAUGUAACCGGCGAGGUUAAGCACUUAAGGUGUGAAGCCGCAGCGAGAGCAAGUCUGAAUAGGGCGUAUGAAGUCGGUUGUAUUCGACCCGAAACCGGGUGACCUACCCAUGGUCAGGUUGAAGUAAAGGUAAAACUUUAUGGAGGACCGAACCGACUCCCGUUGAAAUGGUAGCGGAUGAACUGUGGGUAGCGGAGAAAUUCCAAUCGAACCCGGAGAUAGCUGGUUCUCUCCGAAAUAGCUUUAGGGCUAGCCUUGAAAUAGAUUACCGGAGGUAAAGCACUGAAUUGGCUAGGGGCCGAGAGGUUACUGAACCUUAUCAAACUAAGAAUGCCGGAUAAUCGUUUUUCAGGAGUCAGACAGUGGGAGAUAAGUUUCAUUGUCAAAAGGGAAACAGCCCAGACCCACAGCUAAGGUCCCCAAGUAUAGUUAAGUGGAAAAGGAUGUGGAAUUGCACAGACAACCAGGAUGUUGGCUUAGAAGCAGCCACUCAUUAAAAGAGUGCGUAAUAGCUCACUGGUCGAGUGACUCUGCGCCGAAAAUUUAACGGGGCUAAACUAUACACCGAAGCUUGGGAUACAUCUAAUGUAUGGUAGGAGAGCGUUCUGUAUGGGGUGAAGUCGUAGCGAAAGCGGCGGUGGACUGUACAGAAGUGAGAAUGCCGGAAUAAGUAGCGAGAAUUAAGUGAGAAUCUUAAUGGCCGAAAGUCUAAGGUUUUUGGAGGAAGGUUCGUCCGCUCCAAGUAAGUCGGGAGCUAAGGUCAGGCCGAAAGGCGUAGCCGAUGCACAUACGGUUGAUAUUCCGUAACCAUCUGUAAUUUAAGCAAAGGGACACUUCAAAAGGGUGUGACCCGGGCGUUGGUUGACCCGGGCGUAAGGGACCGAAAUUAGAGUAGGGAAGCACACUUAGCUGAAGGCGAGAAAAGCUUUGCGUAUAGAAACAGAUGCCCGUACCGCAAACCGACACAGGUGGACAGGAAGAGAAUUCUAAGGCCAGCGGGAGAAGGGUAGUUAAGGAACUCGGCAAAUUGACUCCGUAACUUCGGAAUAAGGAGUGCUCGAAAGAGCCGCAGAGAAUAGGCCCAGGCGACUGUUUAGCAAAAACACAGGUCUCUGCCAAAUCGAAAGAUGAAGUAUAGGGGCUGACACCUGCCCGGUGCCGGAAGGUUAAGAGGAGGAGUGAGAGCUCCGAAUUGAAGCCCCGGUAAACGGCGGCCGUAACUAUAACGGUCCUAAGGUAGCGAAAUUCCUUGUCGGGUAAGUUCCG
Molecule: ribosomal RNA, 1886 nt
Filed under: human gut metagenome
Description: bacterial LSU rRNA
Rfam family: Bacterial large subunit ribosomal RNA
Source: RNAcentral